RNAcentral lists this ribosomal RNA (245 nucleotides) under uncultured bacterium. RNAcentral's name for it is "partial 16S ribosomal RNA". It matches the Rfam family "Bacterial small subunit ribosomal RNA", at positions 57 to 305 of the family's 1533-position model. The record is from RNAcentral.
GCAAGUCGAACGAGGAACUGAAGAGCUUGCUUUGAAGUUCCUAGUGGCGGACGGGUUAGUAACACGUGAGUAACUUGCCUCAGAGUGGGGGAUAGUCCUGGGAAACUGGGUUUAAUACCGCAUACGACCUUCGGGUUAAAGCUAGCUUCGGCUGGUGCUUUGAGAUAGGCUCGCGUCCUAUCAGCUAGUUGGUGAGGUAAAAGCUCACCAAGGCGACGACGGGUAGUUGGUCUGAGAGGACGACC